UGCAAAAACAAACUUUGGUCGCAAAACAUGUCAAAGUAUGCUCAAAACAUUUUGUAUCUGAAUAUUAUGUACAAAAAAGUCAUUGCAAUAAAUCUCAAGUUAUUAAAGUCAGUGAACAAAUAAGUACUGACAAUUCGUUGACUGGAGUGGAAGAUGUUAGUGUCUUGAACCAACAUGAAACAACAAGUGAACUUAGCUGAGAAUGAUGGUAGUUUCAAAAUAACGCAGCAUUUGCUAGGAUUGUUCUUAGGUCACAAAAACAAUCUUACAAAUAGAGUUUCUGCUGUUGUCACUGGUUUUAGAGAGUACCUUCGUGAAUGAAGAUAAAAAGUCAUUUAUGUUAUUUUUUAAAAGCCAAGACAUAAUAUUGUUAAUCCUCAUACCAUUUAC
Hydra vulgaris (swiftwater hydra) is the source of this 390-nucleotide long non-coding RNA. RefSeq lists it as uncharacterized. NCBI's taxonomy places the organism in Eukaryota, Metazoa, Cnidaria, Hydrozoa, Anthoathecata, Hydridae. The record is from RefSeq and is a predicted model, not a curated record.